GACGAACGCUGGCGGCGCGCUUAACACAUGCAAGUCGAACGGAAAGGCCUGCUUUCCCUUGUGGAUUGCGGGUACUCGAGUGGCGAACGGGUGAGUAACACGUGAGUGAUCUGCCCCCAACUUGGGUAUAAGCCUGGGAAACUGGGUCUAAUUCCCGAUAGGACUGCAGGGUGGUGCCUGUGGUGGAAAACGAUUUUCUAGUGGUUGGGGAUGAGCUCGCGGCCUAUCAGCUUGUUGGUGGGGUAAUGGCCUACCAAGGCGGCGACGGGUAGCCGGCCUGGGAGGGUGGACGGCCACAUUGGGACUGAGAUACGGCCCAGACUCCUACGGGAGGCAGCAGUGGGGAAUAUUGCACAGUGGGCGGAAGCCUGAUGCAGCGACGCCGCGGGGGGGAUGACGGCCUUCGGGUUGUAAACUCCUUUCGACCGCGAGGAAGCCACCUGGUUGGAAGGGUGGUGACGGUAGUGGUAGAAGAAGCACCGGCUAACUACGUG
RNAcentral lists this ribosomal RNA (494 nucleotides) under uncultured bacterium. Its description in RNAcentral is "partial 16S ribosomal RNA". It matches the Rfam family "Bacterial small subunit ribosomal RNA", at positions 28 to 507 of the family's 1533-position model. The record is from RNAcentral.